AGGCCCGGAGAGAGGCAAGGUUUGAUCUGAAGCCUCAGUGGCAGCUGUUGAUCAGCCGUUGCCUCUCUCUUUCUCUCCC
This is a non-coding RNA of Myotis davidii, 79 nucleotides long. NCBI's taxonomy places the organism in Eukaryota, Metazoa, Chordata, Mammalia, Chiroptera, Vespertilionidae. The record is from Rfam.